Molecule: ribosomal RNA, 225 nt
Filed under: uncultured bacterium
Lineage: Bacteria
Description: partial 16S ribosomal RNA
Rfam family: Bacterial small subunit ribosomal RNA
Source: RNAcentral
GAUCAUGGCUCAGGACGAACGCUGGCGGCAUGCCUAACACAUGCAAGUCGAACGGAGAUUAUUUCGAUAAUCUUAGUGGCGAACGGGUGAGUAACGCGUGGGCAACCUGCCCUCUAGAUGGGGACAACAUCCCGAAAGGGGUGCUAAUACCGAAUGUGACAGCAAUCUCGCAUGAGGAUGCUGUGAAAGAUGGCCUCUAUUUAUAAGCUAUCGCUAGAGGAUGGG